RNAcentral lists this ribosomal RNA (22 nucleotides) under Globisporangium abappressorium. RNAcentral's name for it is "Pythium abappressorium partial 18S ribosomal RNA". The record is from RNAcentral. Lineage: Eukaryota; Oomycota; Peronosporomycetes; Pythiales; Pythiaceae.
UGAACCUCCGGAAGGAUCAUUA